This 2175-nucleotide long non-coding RNA is filed under the name Eutrema salsugineum. RNAcentral's name for it is "long non-coding RNA (ESAL_LNC001778)". The record is from RNAcentral. Lineage: Eukaryota; Viridiplantae; Streptophyta; Magnoliopsida; Brassicales; Brassicaceae.
UUCUCUCUACAGAUAUUUUACACUCCAUCUGUACAUAACAGCUAGGCUCUGUUCAUUUGCACAGUCCAUAAACCAAAUUCUCUCAAUCUAAAGCUACUUUUGAUUAAAAAUAAAAAUAAAGGAACAUCUGCUAGUGACAAUAGUGAAUUGUUCGAGCGAGAAUUUGUAACAAUUAAUACCGUGGCCUAAAUCACCGCCACGAGGAGAGCCACCGCGAGUGAGAUUUCCUUCACCGGCGGUCGAUUACUGACGGUGUAAAAAGUCCCAAUAACUAGGAACACGUGGUCGACAUAAGCCAUUGAAUAGCCUCCUCCACCGGAAAACGAUCGGAAUCAAACUCUUUUGAGUUAAUGCGGAAGAUGACGGAGAUGGAUAAGAUUCGUUAAAACCACCAAUUCUUGCCGGAUUUGUUAUCUAGACUAGAACUACCUGUCGUUUAAUUUCAGUUCUUGAAACGGCAAAACGUGCGAAGUAAGAAAUUCAAAAGAGAAAUAUUACGAAAAAAGCCUAACUUUGUGUCAUAAUUAAACAAUAGUCUAGAUACUUUUCAAUAAAAACAAUUUUCCUUGAGCUCUAAGGCCAUCUCCAAUUCUGAGAUCAUUUUUGGGGACUUUCAAGCUGUUUUACUAUUAUUAUUUUUUUUCAUAGUGAAAAACCCCUCCAUAAUUUAUUCCUCCAACCCUGAUAUUCUGUUUUGAUUAGGUGAUACCUGUAGCGAGGAUCAAAGGAAGAGACGAUGAAACAGCAAAGCUUGGUCCACCAUUAAACUUUUUUUGCUCUUCCCUAAAAUGCAAUUAAUCAGGAGCCACCACGUCGCCGAAUAACCUGUCAUAAGACGGGUUUUUCAAUCUCUUCUGCAAGAGACGAUACGUCGACAAAUUAAGCUUUACAUUUUUCAAAAUUGUAAAAACUCCCCUUAAAUCCACAGAAAAACCAUUUACGUUAGAGAUGGCCUAAGAUCUUGAAAUCUUAAUCUUAAAUCAAAGAUUCAACUAAAGAAUACUAAAACUCUCUGUUUGGCCCUUUUCCCGAUGUAGCAUUCACGGGAGUUCAGAUUUUUUUUUUGCUCCAUGGCUUUUGAAUUUUGAAUCUCUCUAGCGACUCUCUCCGGCGUGACUCAGGAAUGCUACAAUGUUUCUAAUUGUUGAAGACGAAGUCAGCAGUUUCCAAUCUCUGCUGGAGAGGGCUUGAAGUUUUGCUAAAGUUAUUAAAACCUCCCAAAAUCCCAGAAACCACCGUCCGUCCUCUUCUAUUUCCUCGCCGAGAACCUCUGUUUUCUGCAACCUCUAGCUUUGUGCUAAGCCGCUUCUACAAAAACAAGCUUUGCUCCUCCCCGCAAACCAAUCUCAGAUGCAAAUCUCCAAUCCGGCGACCAACACUAAAGAAUCCAAGUUCAGAAGAUUCCUUUCUUUUCUAAGACGAGUGACCAGAAGGCCCCUUUCUCCGAUGAAAAAAAAAUUGUUGUUCACCUCUAAAGAUUGAAGAUCUGCUGCUGCCAAGACCGAAGACCCUUCCUGUUUUGGGAGGUUUUUAUCUUAUACCGAAGACUAAAGAAUACAAGACCCAAAUAAUUCUAGCUUUAUGCUAAGUUGUCCUCAAUUCAUCUCACACAAAGUGUAAUCUUUGAAGGAAAAUUCAAACUAUACCAGUGAAAUUGUAUUCUCUGCGGCGGCGCUUGCUGAAGAGGGAAUGUUCUAGCUGAAGAAAUAAGAAUGCCGAUCCCAGAUCUAGAGUUUCUUGACAGCUACUUGAUGGUGAUCUUGAUGUGUUGUGGUGUCGAGAGGGUUGUCAAUUUUACCCUAAUUGAAAUCGAUAGCCGCAAGUGCACAGUUGAUCAAUUGUAGUACUUAGGGAUCGAAUCCACAGGGAAGGAGGAUCUUUUGCUGCAAAAAGCCUUUGAAAUAAGUUAAAGUAAGGAAGUCUAGAACAAAAACAGUUUUGUGGGGGUUUGGUGGUGUAUUUAAAAUGUAACGAAAUAUUAAAAGAGAGUGCGGAAAUUAAAUGGCGUAAUAACUAAACUUAACGAAAAUAACUAAAAAUGAUAAAAAUGAAUAUUUUAAUGCUUAAAUGAAAAUGAACUAAAAAGGAAAGACAAUAUUGAACUAAAACUUAAAGAAAAAUCGCAGGAAAUCAAUGGAGAAAAAGCGUUGGGCUUCAGGAAAGUUUUCUCAGGGG